CCUACGGGCGGCAGCAGUGGGGAAUAUUGGACAAUGGGCGAAAGCCUGAUCCAGCCAUGCCGCGUGUGUGAAGAAGGCCUUCGGGUUGUAAAGCACUUUCAGUGGGGAAGAAAGCCUUGGGGCUAAUACCCUCGAGGAAGGACAUCACCCACAGAAGAAGCACCGGCUAACUCCGUGCCAGCAGCCGCGGUAAUACGGAGGGUGCGAGCGUUAAUCGGAAUUACUGGGCGUAAAGCGCGCGUAGGCGGUCUGAUAAGCCGGUUGUGAAAGCCCCGGGCUCAACCUGGGAACGGCAUCCGGAACUGUCAGGCUAGAGUGCAGGAGAGGAAGGUAGAAUUCCCGGUGUAGCGGUGAAAUGCGUAGAGAUCGGGAGGAAUACCAGUGGCGAAGGCGGCCUUCUGGACUGACACUGACGCUGAGGUGCGAAAGCGUGGGUAGCAAACAGGAUUAGAUACCCAGGUAGUC
This 465-nucleotide ribosomal RNA is filed under the name Vreelandella stevensii. RNAcentral describes it as "partial 16S ribosomal RNA". It matches the Rfam family "Bacterial small subunit ribosomal RNA", at positions 338 to 795 of the family's 1533-position model. The record is from RNAcentral. Lineage: Bacteria; Pseudomonadati; Pseudomonadota; Gammaproteobacteria; Oceanospirillales; Halomonadaceae.